RNAcentral lists this ribosomal RNA (104 nucleotides) under Caerostris darwini. The record is from RNAcentral. Lineage: Eukaryota; Metazoa; Arthropoda; Arachnida; Araneae; Araneidae.
UACCAUGCUGAAUAUACCGGUUCUCGUUAGAUCACCGAAGUCAAGCAUCAUUGGGCGCGGUCAGUACUUGGGUGGGUAACCACCUGGGAACACCUCGUGCCGUU